GUGCUUACUUUGGCAGUUCAAAAGCUAAAACUGAAACCACACAGAAGAGACUAGCAUGGUCCUAUGAAAGGAUGACAUGAAAAUCUGUGUAGCAUUCAUAUUUUUG
This 106-nucleotide small nuclear RNA is filed under the name Castor canadensis (American beaver). Lineage: Eukaryota; Metazoa; Chordata; Mammalia; Rodentia; Castoridae. The record is from RNAcentral.